GGGUGCCAGGAUAGUGAGAAAAACAAGAAAAGACACUGCUUUUUACCCCAUGCGGGGCAGAGCUGGUCUCCUUUCUGCAGGUGUUGAGGGGAGUUGAGUAGGAGCCCAGAGCUGGUACAGGCCCCGUUUAACGUGCCCCCGCAGAGUGAGGGCUGGGGGUCACCCCAUAGGCAGGGGAGCCCUUCUGGGAGGGAAUUCCUGCUUAGGUGGGAGGUUGACCUGAAUGACAUCUAGGUCCUCUACCUCCCAGAUGCCGAAUUUUCAGGGAAGGAACCAAAUGGAUGUAUGGCCCAUGCCUGGGUUUGAAUCCCAGUUCUGGCCUUCAUUCCUCCAGGCCUCCAUUUCCUUGUCUGCACUAUGGGGCCAUGGUGAGAACUCUGAAAUAACACCAACUGCCUGGUGCUUGGUCCUGCACCCAGGCUGGUAUGAAAAAGGUGCCGAGAAGGUCCCAUGCAUCACCAGCCUGGAGGUAGCAGCAGAAGGGAAACCAGUGCCUCUGAGAGUGGGCAACUGUGCCCCAUCCACCUCCUCUUCUUCUUGGAGAUCUCAAGAUAAGACAAGAGACAUCAACCUGGGAUUGGGUUUCUGGGCAGAGAGUAAAAGUGAGCUCCUUCUGCCUGUGCACGCAGCUUCCCUCGGUACUGGGAUAGCCGAGAUCCCUUACUAGAAGCAGCUCACAAAACCUCCCCCAGUUACUGGGAUAGCCCAGACACCUUCCUAGGGCAGCAGCGGAAGAAAGAAGGGGACAAAAUACCAACGACCAGAAAGAAGAAAGAACUUAGCCUCAGUCACCAGCCACUGGGAGCUGAUAGUAACUGAAGGGAUGGAAAGCCCUCUGGGACAGUUUUAGUGGGAGCCCUCCAGAGCCUGGAGAGACUGCAGGUGGAGCAGGAAGGUGGGGAAGAAUUAGAGCAGUGACCCCGGCCACUUUUGGCCUCACGGUUCUGCACAAUGAGACAUUGCUCAUCUUCAGAGAACCGUGCCAUUCUGGCCAUCUGGCAUCCUAGACAAUUUUCCACUGUCUCUCAGUAUCCAGCCAUCCAGCCAUCUAGCCUCCUAACUACUUCUCUGUGCUGGUCCAGCCCAGUGCUCAGAGUUAGGAUAUUUUUAUGAAUAAAACAGACCUAGCUUCUGCCCUCGUGGAGCUUACAGCGUGGGGCGAAAGGAGACUGAUCAAAAUGCCACACACAUGUAAUUUACAACCUUGGGAAGUGCCAAGAAGGGGAAGUGUUGGGUGCCACUGAGAACAUUCACAGAGGUUAACCUGGGGCUGAGGUGGAGGAAAGGUCAGAUGGAAGCUGUCUAACCACCCUGGGCUUCUGGCUUAGGAUGUGUAGGGCUAGCAGCUCAGCCCAUGAGGUUGUGUCUUGAACUUGGGUAUUGAUGGAAUAGCUAUAGAAACAGAACAACCAUGAAGUGAAGAUGGUGAAUGAAGAUCCUCUCAUCAGCUUGCGAUUGCAUGACAGAGGAGGCUGCAAGGACACUCAGGUGUGAAGACGGCUGUGCCACUGCAGGGCAUGCAGAAGGAAGAGAGCCUUCCAGAGGAAAGUCGCCUUGUUCCUUGCUUUGUGACCCUCAUCUCUGCGAGGUAGAGAAGAAAAGGAGGGCUCUUCCAUCGGGAGCUUCCAAGGUUCCGGGUGAGAGCUAGCCAGCUCUGCAUUUGGAGCAGAGAGAGACAGGAAUUUGGGACACUAGGUCACAAGUUGGUCUCUUCCUUUGUCAGCAGUCCAUUCAACAUGGCAAUGCCCACACCCACCUCACAAGGC
This 1766-nucleotide long non-coding RNA is filed under the name Homo sapiens (human). RNAcentral's name for it is "non-protein coding LINC01977:7". The record is from RNAcentral. Lineage: Eukaryota; Metazoa; Chordata; Mammalia; Primates; Hominidae.